GUUUGUGUGGUGUCUUGAGAAAUGUCUCUUCGCCUCUUUUUGCCCAUUUGAAAAAUUGGGUUAUUUGUGUUUUUAUCAUUGAGUUGUAAUGAUGCUUUAGUAUUGUGGACACCGGCCCCUGUAAGGGGUGUGACCCACCACGUUCCUCCUCCGUGGUCGGAUCAUCAUUUUCUGUUUCUUUGAAUACUUUCUCUGCCCCCAUCCUCCUCUGAUCCUCUGCCUACCCAGGUAGGCCCUUGUCACAGUCCCCCAGUUUAUUGUCUUUAAGACAAUAGAUUUGUUAAAGCACAAU
RNAcentral lists this long non-coding RNA (292 nucleotides) under Marmota monax (woodchuck). Lineage: Eukaryota; Metazoa; Chordata; Mammalia; Rodentia; Sciuridae. The record is from RNAcentral.